This 497-nucleotide ribosomal RNA is filed under the name uncultured bacterium. RNAcentral describes it as "partial 16S ribosomal RNA". It matches the Rfam family "Bacterial small subunit ribosomal RNA", at positions 28 to 507 of the family's 1533-position model. The record is from RNAcentral.
GAUGAACGCUGGCGGCGUGCCUAAUACAUGCAAGUCGAGCGAACGGACGAGAAGCUUGCUUCUCUGAUGUUAGCGGCGGACGGGUGAGUAACACGUGGAUAACCUACCUAUAAGACUUGGAUAACUUCGGGAAACCGGAGCUAAUACCGGAUAAUAUUUUGAACCGCAUGGUUCAAAAGUGAAAGACGGUCUUGCUGUCACUUAUAGAUGGAUCCGCGCUGCAUUAGCUAGUUGGUAAGGUAACGGCUUACCAAGGCAACGAUGCAUAGCCGAACUGAGAGGGUGAUCGGCCACACUGGAACAAAGACACGGUCCAGACUCCUACGGGAGGCAGCAGUAGGGAAUCUUCCGCAAUGGGCGAAAGCCUGACGGAGCAACGCCGAGUGAGUGAUGAAGGUCUUCGGAUCGUAAAACUCUGUUAUUAGGGAAGAACAUAUGUGUAAGUAACUGUGCACAUCUUGACGGUACCUAAUCAGAAAGCCACGGCUAACUACGUG